RNAcentral lists this ribosomal RNA (456 nucleotides) under uncultured bacterium. RNAcentral's name for it is "bacterial SSU rRNA". It matches the Rfam family "Bacterial small subunit ribosomal RNA", at positions 340 to 789 of the family's 1533-position model. The record is from RNAcentral.
UACGGGAGGCAGCAGUGGGGAAUAUUGCACAAUGGGCGCAAGCCUGAUGCAGCCAUGCCGCGUGUAUGAAAAAGGCCUUCGGGUUGUAAAGUACUUUCAGUCGUGAGGAAGGUGUUAAGGUUAAUAACCUUAGCAAUUGACGUUAGCGACAGAAGAAGCACCGGCUAACUCCGUGCCAGCAGCCGCGGUAAUACGGAGGGUGCGAGCGUUAAUCGGAAUUACUGGGCGUAAAGGGCACGCAGGCGGUUAAUUAAGUUGGAUGUGAAUCCCCGGGCUUAACCUGGGAAUGGCAUUCAAGACUGGUUAGCUAGAGUCUUGUAGAGGGGGUAGAAUUCCAUGUGUAGCGGUGAAAUGCGUAGAGAUGUGGAGGAAUACCGGUGGCGAAGGCGGCCCCUGGACAAAGACUGACGCUCAUGUGCGAAAGCGUGGGGAGCGAAACAGGGAUUAGAUACCCGU